RNAcentral lists this ribosomal RNA (495 nucleotides) under uncultured bacterium. RNAcentral describes it as "bacterial SSU rRNA". It matches the Rfam family "Bacterial small subunit ribosomal RNA", at positions 32 to 507 of the family's 1533-position model. The record is from RNAcentral.
GACGACGCUGGCGGCGUGCCUAAUACAUGCAAGUUGAACGCUGAAGACUGGUACUUGUACCAGUUGGAUGAGUAGCGAACGGGUGAGUAACGCGUGGGUAACCUACCUCUUAGCGGGGACAACUAUUGGAAACGAUAGCUAAUACCGCAUAACAAUACCUAACACAUGUUAAGUAUUUGAAAGCACCAACUGGUGCACUAAGAGAUGGACCCGCGUUGUAUUAGCUAGUUGGUAGUGUAAUGGACUACCAAGGCGAUGAUACAUAGCCGACCUGAGAGGGUGAUCGGCCACAUUGGGACUGAGACACGGCCCAAACUCCUACGGGAGGCAGCAGUAGGGAAUCUUCGGCAAUGGGGGCAACCCUGACCGAGCAACGCCGCGUGAGUGAAGAAGGUUUUCGGAUCGUAAAACUCUGUUGUUAGAGAAGAACGUCAGUGAGAGUGGAAAGUUCACUGAGUGACGGUAUCUAACCAGAAAGGGACGGCUAACUACGUG